Molecule: ribosomal RNA, 425 nt
Filed under: grassland soil clone sl1_021
Lineage: Bacteria
Description: bacterial SSU rRNA
Rfam family: Bacterial small subunit ribosomal RNA
Source: RNAcentral
AAUACAUGCAAGUCGAACGAGCAAUGGCAGUGGCGCACGGGUGCGUAACGCGUAACCAACCUACCCAGAACUGGGGGAUAGCCCGCCGAAAGGCGGAUUAAUACCGCAUAAGCUAAGCUGUCGGCAUCGGCGAUUUAGUAAAGAUUUAUUGGUUUUGGAUGGGGUUGCGUGCCAUUAGCUAGUUGGAGAGGUAACGGCUCACCAAGGCGACGAUGGCUAGGGGAGCUGAGAGGCUGGUCCCCCACACGGGCACUGAGAUACGGGCCCGACUCCUACGGGAGGCAGCAGUAGGGAAUAUUGGGCAAUGGGCGAGAGCCUGACCCAGCCAUGCCGCGUGCAGGAUGAAGGCUUUCUGAGUCGUAAACUGCUUUUGCCAGGGAAGAAAAAACGGAUGCGUCCGCUACUGACGGUACCUGGUGAAUAAG